GACGAACGCUGGCGGCGUGCCUAAUACAUGCAAGUAGAACGCUGAAGAGAGGAGCUUACUCUUCUUGGAUGAGUUGCGAACGGGUGAGUAACGCGUAGGUAACCUGCCUUGUAGCGGGGGAUAACUAUUGGAAACGAUAGCUAAUACCGCAUAACAAUGGAUGACACAUGUCAUUUAUUUGAAAGGGGCAAUUGCUCCACUACAAGAUGGACCUGCGUUGUAUUAGCUAGUAGGUGAGGUAAUGGCUCACCUAGGCGACGAUACAUAGCCGACCUAAGAGGGUGAUCGGCCACCCUGGGACUGAGACACGGCCCAGACUCCUACGGGAGGCAGCAGUAGGGGAUCUUCGGCAAUUGGGGCAACCCUGACCGAGCAACGCCGCGUGAGUGAAGAAGGUUUUCGGAUCGUAAAGCUCUGUUGUAAGUCAAGAACGGGUGUGAGAGUGGAAAGUUCACACUGUGACGGUAGCUUACCAGAAAGGGACGGCUAACUACGUG
Molecule: ribosomal RNA, 497 nt
Filed under: uncultured bacterium
Lineage: Bacteria
Description: partial 16S ribosomal RNA
Rfam family: Bacterial small subunit ribosomal RNA
Source: RNAcentral